UGCCUUGGCUAUGUGGGAGCUUGGCCAC
This 28-nucleotide non-coding RNA is filed under the name Rattus norvegicus (Norway rat). Lineage: Eukaryota; Metazoa; Chordata; Mammalia; Rodentia; Muridae. The record is from RNAcentral.